Molecule: non-coding RNA, 2327 nt
Organism: Physcomitrium patens
Lineage: Eukaryota; Viridiplantae; Streptophyta; Bryopsida; Funariales; Funariaceae
Source: RefSeq, a predicted model, not a curated record
AACUGCAAUUCUGCUGUUACUGGGUUGGGGUCCAGCCAAGUUGAGUACCGACCCUGGCCUUUGAGAACUUACUCCCCCGCAAGCUAGUCCUCCCUCACAAGAAACACGAUGCGGACGCCCUCCUGUUCGCUGUCUGCCUGGCUCAGUCCUUGGCUUCUUGAUCCACCCAGUUCACAUUCGUCGCGGGCUAGGAUAAGUACCCUCCCCCUCCUGACAAUCAAUUGCAGUUCUCUCUGAGUGGGUGCAGACUUUGUGUUAUUGAGGGUUCCAGGUUGCUGGAGUGGGGUCGUUUUGAUGUCGUUUACUGCAUGACUGGUGAUGGGGGUUAGAUUUCGUUGAUGAUUAUGUUGGUUGUGAUAAAUCGGUUCCGUGUCGUCAUAAUCGCAAGUGUUGCAGGCAGUUAUGAGGAGAUGGAGAGCGUGCAGACUUGUUUCCUUCCUCUAGCCUAUGAUGCAGAUUCUUCAUCUGUUUGUUAUCGUUCUCAUGGUGUACAUAACAGACGAAGGUCUGCAUCAUAGCCAAGAGGAAGCAAAUCUUAAUACCUGGCUCGAAUUUGGCCUGCACGCAAUUUUGCCCCGGUCUGACGCUCUACCUUUAGCGAGUUUGCUCGUGGGCUUUGGGGACAUCUAUUUCUUGUCUACCCCUUCUGACGCUGUUUCAGCCUGGCUAAACCCAAGUACAUGGAAUAGAUCUCUCUUUCUCUCUCUCGCUCUCUCUCACUCCAGCAAGACGAUAGAUUGAUGGAAGUCUCAAAUAAAUAGAACAGUGCAGUGCCAAUUUAAACUUAGCACCUACAUCCAGCAUGACAGUUGUUGCAGCAUACUAGUGAUCAUUUGUAUUGCUUCUAUCGAGCGUGGCUCUGCAAUCCAGAAAGAUACUUGUGAUAGCUUCACUUUCUUUCGAAGAUUCACAAGAUUUGUUUGAACCAAGGGCAACCUGUCUGUGAUGCAUAAUUUCAACUGACCUAGCAAACGUUUACCGCGUAAAUUUCGAGGCUCAAGCAUAUCCCAAGCUGAAUUGACGAUGGGAUCUUGUGAAUAGCACAGAACCACGUCUGCCAAAUUGAAUGUCAAGAACCUGUUCCAUUGAAGUCUAUUUACGCACAAAGUGGAAGUUAUCACAUCGCAGUCUUCCAACACUGACCUCUACUCGUCAAGUAACAGGAUCCAUCAUCAGUGAAGCUGUGCCAUCUAGAUUGUCGAGAUUCAUCUCCGUAGUCAUCUGAAUGGACCUGAAUAGUUUUUUUUACGAAUUUCUGGUCCCCUACAGAAAGAAGUGUAACUUCGUAAUAAUUAGAGGGUAAAUUGACAGAUCACUUGGGGGAUCAAUCAUCUUGAUGAUCGUCACUACUUGGUCAAUAGCAAUAUUGCAUUUCGGUUUGUUCCCACUUGUUAUAACAUUCUUACAGAGCUACUCAGAGUAAUUGAAUCGAGUAGGUCGCUUUCCUGUGUGUGGAGUGUUAACAUUAAUCAGUAUGAUAUGUUCAGUUCUCGAUCGCUCACAACGGUCUUGUGAGGAUGUCACAUAGAUCCCUCUGUUGAGCUUGGUGUGAGCAGAUGCACUAGACUAUGAACAUGGUAGCAACCUUUCCGACAAUCUAAUUCACGGUAGUGAUGUUUUCGAGGUUGAGGUUGAUCAUACAGCAAACGGCAUCGAUCGAGAUCUAGCAUCCGGACGAGCUCAUGCACAUGCGCGCUUGCAUCGAUCUGUCUUCACAGUUUCUAAAACUUGAUCGGUAGCGAAAAGAGAUUCUCAGGGCCGUUGAGAAUUUGUCCGGUCCGAGAAUUGCAGCCUCACAUAUAAACAGUCGCAUAUCAAUUACAACAUCAGUAACCUACUGAUAGACACUGAAGAUCUACUCGAAGAGUAAGACCAAGACCCUGAGGCCGAGCCCGAGUCGAAAACACGCAAAGACUCCACAACUCAUUGCUUACAACCUCGAUGACAUCAUAUUGAUAACGUCAUCAAGAGAAUCAUCGUGCAUUCGAUGGAUGAACAGAGCACAAAACUCGGGGGUAACAUGCAGUGAUGCUUGACUCUUCGUGGUGUAACAGUAGGAUUUAUAUGUAUUUAAGAUUCACAGAAUUACUCAAUAAUGUGUGAUAUUGCUCCUAGAUUAGUCUUUUGUUAUGGUUAGCGUAAGUUCGUAGCACUGAGCAGUGAGCACUGGUGAAGCUCUUCUUUCUAUGCUCAUAGUUGCAUGUUCCUCUGUUCUUACACCAAGUAGUUGAUGACUCCUCAUUUCCUACCAUCGUCGGAGCGUCAACAUUUACUGCUGAGCAGUUCAAAAUUCAUAAGCUCAAAGCUCAAGCGAUAAUUGUAAUGAU